UACCUUGGACCGGGCCAGCCCAGUCGGG
Molecule: small RNA, 28 nt
Filed under: Bombyx mori (domestic silkworm)
Lineage: Eukaryota; Metazoa; Arthropoda; Insecta; Lepidoptera; Bombycidae
Description: ovarian small RNA-20932
Source: RNAcentral